UACACAGGAGACGAACAGAUCCGGAAUUUAUUCACUCAAACUAAAUGUUAUGAGCUGAAACAGUAAUGGCACUGAAACUUGUGCUUGAAACAAAUAUCUUAUAAUAAUACUGUGAUACUUUUUGAAGCGACAUGAUUUUAGAGAAAUAUUGUGGCCAUUUGCUUUGGGACAAAAAACUUGCUUGGGACACUUCAAGUCCUAUUUUGUCGCCAUGUUUCAGUGAAACGCUGCUUCUUUGGGUUUGGAUCUUUCGCCUUCCUCUUUCGCUUGGAACAAAUAUUUUAAAAUAAUAUUGUGAUACUUUUCGAAGCGACAUGAUUUUAGAGAAAUAUUGUGGCCAUUCACUUUGGGACAAAAAACUGUCUUGACACUUCAAGUCCUAUUCUGAUAUUCGAAUUUAUCCGCGGAUUCGUGAGAGGCGAUGGGCUUUUUCACUAUAAUAAGAAUGUCUACCACAGCAUAGACGCAAUAAACUCAGAAUUUUUAAAUUAAGAAACUCGCCGGAAUAUCCACGAUCUCGGAAUAUAAAAUCAUAAUUCAGAGUUGACUGUAAGUAAUCUGACUGUAUCUUGCUAAUAAUUAUAUUUG
Tetranychus urticae (two-spotted spider mite) is the source of this 588-nucleotide non-coding RNA. Lineage: Eukaryota; Metazoa; Arthropoda; Arachnida; Trombidiformes; Tetranychidae. The record is from RefSeq and is a predicted model, not a curated record.